This 786-nucleotide ribosomal RNA is filed under the name Triticum aestivum (bread wheat). RNAcentral's name for it is "partial small subunit ribosomal RNA". The record is from RNAcentral. Lineage: Eukaryota; Viridiplantae; Streptophyta; Magnoliopsida; Poales; Poaceae.
AUGCCGCCUAUUCGCGCCCCUCCCACACACUCUCGACCUCCUCCCGGCGUGCCACCGCCCCUGCUCCUCCCUCCUCCAGGAGGACGCGCCGCCGCCCCUGUUCUUCCUUCCUCCUGUCGGCGGGUCAGGUCCCUCAACAUCGCGGCGUCGGAGGCGGACGCAAGGCCGGUGCUGGUGCCGGGGGGCAACAAGGCCCCGGCGGCUGCGUGGAAACCUUCUCCCAAGCCGCUGCGGAAGGCGCCAGAGAAGCCUCCGGCCGCUGACCCGGUCAAAGAGGAUGAGUUGCAGGGCGUGAAGAAGGACGCGGGGGCCGCCACUGCUGUUGGCGACGACGGCGCUAGGAAGGGGAACUCGUCCCCAUUGCCGCCGCCGAGGAAGCUGCAAGAUGCACCGGCGGUGAACCUCAACGCGUCCUGCUCCUCGGAGGCCCCCGUGGAGUCGCUUCGCGGCCAGGCCCCAGGCGGAAGGACGGAGAAGGGCUGGUCCCGGCCGACCGCGCCCAAGCGUGGGAAGGCUGCGUCUAAGGUGGUGGAGAAGCACACCGAUGUCGCGGAGGUUGCCGCUCCGGUGACGCCGGAGGCCGUCCGAGGGAGGAGCCGGUGCGCCUGGGUGACUCCGACCACCGGGCACGCCUCCGAGGUAGCCGAUGCCUACUGUAUCCAGUGUUCUGCUGGAUCCGGUGCCACCUCAAAGAACACCUUCUUCUGGCUGGGCAUUGAACGCCUCAGGGACGACGAGGUGCAGCAACUGGGGUGGAAGCAGUUCAACUACAUGAUGAAGAAUUGA